UGAGGAAUCUUGCGCAAUGGGCGAAAGCCUGACGCAGCCACGCCGCGUGGAGGAAGACACCCCUAUGGGGCGUAAACUCCUUUUAUACGGGAAGAACACCCUGCUCGGCAGGGUCUGACGGUACCGUACGAAUAAGGACCGGCUAACUCCGUGCCAGCAGCCGCGGUAAUACGGAGGGUCCAAGCGUUGUCCGGAAUCACUGGGUGUAAAGGGUGCGCAGGCGGGCGUGUAAGUCAGAGGUGAAAGCCCACGGCCUAACCGUGGAAUUGCCUUUGAUACUGCACGUCUUGAGUCCUGGAGAGGUCGCUGGAAUUCGUGGUGUAGCGGUGAAAUGCGUAGAUAUCACGAGGAACACCUGAAGCGUAGGCGAGCGACUGGACAGGUACUGACGCUGAGGCACGAAAGCGUGGGGAGCGAACAGGAUUAGAUACCCCCGUAGUCC
This 442-nucleotide ribosomal RNA is filed under the name uncultured prokaryote. RNAcentral's name for it is "bacterial SSU rRNA". It matches the Rfam family "Bacterial small subunit ribosomal RNA", at positions 355 to 796 of the family's 1533-position model. The record is from RNAcentral.